GCUGGGAUAGCUCAGUCGGCAGAGCAUGAGACUCUUAAUCUCAAGGCUGUGGGUUCGAGCCCCACGCUAAGCA
RNAcentral lists this transfer RNA (73 nucleotides) under Podarcis lilfordi (Lilford's wall lizard). It matches the Rfam family "tRNA". From Rfam's summary of the family: Transfer RNA (tRNA) molecules are approximately 80 nucleotides in length. The record is from Rfam by way of RNAcentral. Lineage: Eukaryota; Metazoa; Chordata; Lepidosauria; Squamata; Lacertidae.